AAAGUGGUCUUUAUAAUUCAAGAAUUAAGGGGCCAGGCUGAAGUACAGACAAUACUACAACAGCAGAUGGAGAAAAUGACCUUUUUAAAAUCACAAUUGGAGAGAAUGGACACUAUAAAAUCAAAAGUGCUAUUUUUGAUUCAACAAUUCAGGGGGCAGGCUGGGGACAUGUUUAGUGGUGCUGGAGAUCAAACUUUAACACAAGUGCAACAAAGAUCCUCUUCUGCAGGUCAGGAAUUGUGACCUUGCGGUGGGAAUGAGAUUUUUUUUUCUUAAAGUUGGGAAAUUAUGGUCUUGAUUUGACACACUAAAAUUUGUGAUUGACAUGAAAGGUAUUGUUUUGUAUGUUUUGAAGUAGAUGAAAAAAAUAUUAGUCUUCUAUGAAUUUAGUAAAUUAUGUAUUAUGAAAGGAUAUUCUUUUA
This is a long non-coding RNA of Quercus robur (English oak), 422 nucleotides long. RefSeq lists it as uncharacterized. NCBI's taxonomy places the organism in Eukaryota, Viridiplantae, Streptophyta, Magnoliopsida, Fagales, Fagaceae. The transcript has 3 exons. The record is from RefSeq and is a predicted model, not a curated record.